ACGGCAGCCAGGGAGUGAGAGAGAGUCUGGAGAAGCUGCAGGAAGCAGCUUCACUUCAGGAGGGUAUCACCACAUUAAACUUCUUACAAAAUAAAAACUCAGGCCACUGAACUAAAAUUUCCAAAGGCACUGACAUUGGCUUGUACACAUACUGGAGGAUAUAAAGAUGACAAUUACCACCCGUCAACAUUGGAAAGAACAUCUUAAACAACUCUGGAACUGUGAAUUCACUGGGACCGGCAUAUUAAAGAGGAUACUCUGGAAUAUGUUGAGCACCUCCCAAUCUUGACAGCCACCUCUCUCCUAAGGCCACCACUGACGAGGAGAUCUAACACCAUGGUCCUGCUAAAAUCAGCUUCAGUGGAUUGGUAACUGUGUCUGGAUGGCUGAACAUUCCACCAAUUUCUGCUUAGCCAACUCUCAAAUUUUCAGUGUUCUAGGGUGGACCGUGGAAGUGUUACAAAGACACACUGAAGCUCUCCUUGAAACAAGAUGCCAUUGUCUGUUUAAAAACUCAAGGUAAUAGGCAAAAAUUUCUUUGUAUAGUCAAUAAACUUCUGCACAGGUCUC
Rhincodon typus (whale shark) is the source of this 570-nucleotide long non-coding RNA. RefSeq lists it as uncharacterized. The transcript is spliced from 4 exons. The record is from RefSeq and is a predicted model, not a curated record. Lineage: Eukaryota; Metazoa; Chordata; Chondrichthyes; Orectolobiformes; Rhincodontidae.